CCUACGGGAGGCAGCAGUGGGGGAUAUUGCACAAUGGGGGGAACCCUGAUGCAGCGACGCCGCGUGGGUGAAGGAGUGCUUCGGCAUGUAAAGCCCUAUCGGCAGGGAAGAAGCAAGACGGUACCUGACUAAGAAGCCCCGGCUAACUACGUGCCAGCAGCCGCGGUAAUACGUAGGGGGCGAGCGUUAUCCGGAUUCACUGGGUGUAAAGGGAGCGUAGACGGCCAUGCAAGCCAGGGGUGAAAGCCCGGGGCCAAACCCCUGGACUGCCCUUGGAACUGCAUGGCUGGAGUGCGGGAGGGGCAGGCGGAAUUCCUGGUGUAGCGGUGAAAUGCGUAGAUAGUAGGAGGAACACCAGUGGCGAAGGCGACUUUCUGGACUGUACCUGACGCUGAGGCGCGAAAGCGUGGGUAGCGAACGGGAUUAGAUACCCCAGUAGUC
This 441-nucleotide ribosomal RNA is filed under the name uncultured bacterium. RNAcentral describes it as "partial 16S ribosomal RNA". It matches the Rfam family "Bacterial small subunit ribosomal RNA", at positions 338 to 795 of the family's 1533-position model. The record is from RNAcentral.